GCCAGUAAGUAGCACCCCUCCACAGCCUCUGCAUCAGCUCCUGCCUCCAGGUUCCUGCCCUACUUGAGUUCCUGUCCUGACUUCCCUAGAUGAACAGUGAAGGGAAGUAAUAAGACAAAUAAACCCGUUCCUCCUCAAGUUACUUUAGUCAUGGUGUUUCAUCACAGCAAUGGUCACCCUAACAAAGACAGAAAUUGAUACCAGAUCAUGGGGUAUUGCUGUGACACACCUGACCAUGUUGCUUUGGGGAGGAUUAUAGGACUUUGGAGCUUUGGGCUAGAAAAACAAUUACGUGUUCGAAGCUUGGUGAGCUUUUCUGUGGGAUCUUGGAAGAAAAUAAGAAGGUUGAGAGCAAUGCAGACAACGGAGGCUGGUCUUGUGAAGUUCCAGAAAGUUCCUUAAAGACUCUAUCAGGACCAUUUGUUAUUUUGAGUUGAGAAUCUGUGGUUCUGGUCAGCUGGGGUAAAGAGUGAUUGGUUAGCAACCAGAACCACUGAAGUAAAGCCUUGGCUUUUCUGGAACAUCUGAUGCUGGUUAGCUGGAGCUGAACCGUUAGUGAUGAUUAAGAGCCCAGCAUCACUGAGGUGAAAUCUCCUAGGAAGUGUUUCCUCAGAGACAACAUGCAGAAGCUGUGUUCCAGAAGCACCCAGGAUUGUACCUCCACCUGGCAGCUGAACUUGGUAGUGUAAAAGCCACCCAGGUGGUACUGGUUUUGAAGCUAUGAAGCAGUCAUGGAGAACAGCUGAGACUUUGUAUUGUGAGAGGCCAGGAAUGUCAUGGGUGAAGGUAGUGCCUCAGUAGCAGUUGAAAGCCCAGCAUUAAAAGGGUCAUGCUGAGAAGCUGAGAUCUGGUACCAUGAAGAGAGCCCAGGAAAGGUAUUGGUGAAAGCGCCCAGUUGCAGCAGAGACCCCAGCAUUUUGGAGGUACCAGUACCUUGAGACAAUCACCAAGAACAGCAGGAGCAAUGGACUGGAGCCAGAUGGAGCCUGGAAGACAAACCAUAUGUGUUGCAGAGGUGGGGCUAGAGAAGAGGCCCUUGGAGGAGCUCGGAAGAUCUGAGUGAACCCCAGGCUGAGAUGCAGAUCCAAGACCAGCAGCUGCUGCUCUCACUGAGGCACCUGCAGAGCCUCCUGGAGGAGCUUCGGGCCGAAAGCACCCACUGGGAGGAUAAAAGGCCCA
Molecule: RNA transcript, 1179 nt
Organism: Mesocricetus auratus (golden hamster)
Lineage: Eukaryota; Metazoa; Chordata; Mammalia; Rodentia; Cricetidae
Gene: CUNH20orf202
Gene name: chromosome unknown C20orf202 homolog
Exons: 2
Source: RefSeq, a predicted model, not a curated record